Molecule: transfer RNA, 62 nt
Filed under: Rodolia quadrimaculata
Lineage: Eukaryota; Metazoa; Arthropoda; Insecta; Coleoptera; Coccinellidae
Description: tRNA-Trp
Source: RNAcentral
AAGGAUUUAAGUUAACUAAACUUACAACCUUCAAAGUUGUCAAUGAAUUUUUUCAAGCCUUA